CCCCUAGAUGUUCUGGGCCGCACGCGCGCUACACUGAACAGUUCAACAAGUCUUAACCUUGGCCGAUAGGUCUGGGUAAUCUUUGAACGCUGUUCGUGAUUGGGAUAGACCUUUGCAAUUAUGGGUCUUCAACGAGGAAUUCCUAGUAAACGCAAGUCAUCAGCUUGCAUUGAUUACGUCCCUGCCCUUUGUACACACCGCCCGUCGCACCUACCGAUUGAAUGGUCCGGUGAAGCCUCCGGAUUGGCGCGCACCUCGGUGCCGCCGAGAAGUUGGCUAAACCUUACCAUUUAGAGGAAGGAGAAGUCGUAACA
This 314-nucleotide ribosomal RNA is filed under the name uncultured eukaryote. RNAcentral's name for it is "partial 18S ribosomal RNA". It matches the Rfam family "Eukaryotic small subunit ribosomal RNA", at positions 1470 to 1796 of the family's 1831-position model. The record is from RNAcentral.